CGCGUAGGCGGAUGUUUAAGUCGGGGGUGAAAGCCCGGGGCUCAACCUCGGAAUUGCCUUCGAUACUGGACGUCUUGAGUACGGGAGAGGUGAGUGGAACUCCGAGUGUAGAGGUGAAAUUCGUAGAUAUUCGGAAGAACACCAGUGGCGAAGGCGACUCACUGGCCCGUUACUGACGCUGAGGCGCGAAAGCGUGGGGAGCAAACAGGAUUAGAUACCCUGGUAGUCCACGCCGUAAACGAUGAGUGCUAGUUGUCGGGCGGCAUGCCGUUCGGUGACGCAGCUAACGCAUUAAGCACUCCGCCUGGGGAGUACGGUCGCAAGAUUAAA
This 330-nucleotide ribosomal RNA is filed under the name uncultured Pseudomonadota bacterium. RNAcentral describes it as "bacterial SSU rRNA". It matches the Rfam family "Bacterial small subunit ribosomal RNA", at positions 568 to 898 of the family's 1533-position model. The record is from RNAcentral. Lineage: Bacteria; Pseudomonadati; Pseudomonadota.